Molecule: long non-coding RNA, 1056 nt
Organism: Solea solea (common sole)
Lineage: Eukaryota; Metazoa; Chordata; Actinopteri; Pleuronectiformes; Soleidae
Exons: 2
Source: RefSeq, a predicted model, not a curated record
AGAAGCACCGUUUGUUUUCCCCCGUUUUCUAAUAGGGUUUUAUUAUUUUUCUUAAAUUAUUAUUCAUUAUUUUUGACAUGGAAUAUUGUGAUAUAAACUACAAGUUUUCAGAUUCCUCUCCAGUUCAGGCCACAUGGCUGCUGUGGAUACAGCAAAUAGGUCAAGUCUCCAGCUGCUUAUUAAACGACUGAAAUAUUUCAUAAAGCAUUUUUAUAUGUAAAAAAAAAACAAAAACAUUUAGCAGAGAACAUGCCCCUCUUAUUGAAAACCACCCUCCAGAUUUCUGUAAAAGAUAGACAGGAACAUGGGCAGGAUGUUUAUACAGCAAAAUGUAAACAUUUUCCCUGGCCUUCUUUAAAUAAAAAAUCAAGCAAAAGCCCCGUUAGAUCAGUUAAUACGCAAUCUGAUGCGAUAUGUCCGCGUGUCCGUAGCGCCUGGUGCAGAUGCAGGACAUUUUUACGCACGAAUAUUGUUUGUGUAAUGCAGUCAUAAUAUUUACGCAGGCACGCAGGAGGGGUGCGCACCGAACUGCCGAGCUGUGAGCACAGAAACUCGGACUGGGACUUGAGAUCAACUCCUGCAGGCACUUCACCGUCGAAAGAUCCGGAAAAUAAAGCCGGAGUGGGCAGGCGUGCGGCUUUGGCCACAGGAAGCCGUGAAUUCUUUGGAGAAUGGAAGAUGUCUUAUGGAGAGAGACGUAGUGGGGCCCCCACCCACCAACCCACCCACUCACCACCUCAGCAUGACCCCUGACCCCCCUCUUGUGUUUAUAUCAGACCGUGGAAGUGAGAAAUAGUGAUGAGUCACUCUGGAUGUAUGUUUAUACUCUGGAGUCACGCAAGGAAGGAAAUCAGCCACGGUCUGCUAAAAGUGGCGAGGUGACAGAGAGUAGCUGCAGUCCCUGAGCACUGCACUGAUUUACCUUGAAGAACCUGAAUGUAUUUCACGUCGCGUCUCUGCUGCGAAGAUUCUCGACCCGAGACGUUUGGAUAAAUGUGCAUGUACUGUACACCAUGUGCUUUUAUCCUGAUCACUGAGUGAGAGGGAAACAACAAA